Long non-coding RNA from Suricata suricatta (meerkat), 666 nucleotides. RefSeq lists it as uncharacterized. NCBI's taxonomy places the organism in Eukaryota, Metazoa, Chordata, Mammalia, Carnivora, Herpestidae. The transcript is spliced from 2 exons. The record is from RefSeq and is a predicted model, not a curated record.
UGGAGCCCUCAUCUCCACCGUCGCGGGAGAGCGGCGGCACCUGCGGGGCGCGAGGGGGCGUCUCUGGUUCACGGUCGGCGCUGCACGCCAGGUCCCAGGACGUGGAGGAAAACAGUCCCCGGGGGUCCCCCGUCCCCUGUGAUGACAGUACUGGCAUCGCUGCUCCCCCCCCGCUCUGUGCCUGGAGUCCUAGAGGCUGAAGUGUGUGCUCAGAGGGGAGGGCAAGAAGCCUGUCCUCCAUCAAGCCGGACUCCACACAAGUGACCGGACGCCCUCCGGCUGGUCUUUGAAGCGCCGCCAUUUCCAGCCUGCGCUCUGCCUGGACGGCUCUACGUAGUUAGCGGGUUGCACACGGUCUGGGCCCUAUGCUAGCGACCCCCUCUCCCAGCAAAGCAAGGCGGCAAUGCCCCGAGCUGCAUGACGAUUUACCAACUAGACGUGUACGCAGACUUUGUUUGAAAGCUUUUUGUAAAAAGUAAAAGUGGAAAGUGGUUUUGUUCUGAAGGUUUAGGUCUGGUGCAUUAUUUUAACUCCGGGGCUACCUUCUGUGUGAUCAUCUGAAGUCCGGCCGCUUCUGUGUCCGCUGUCUUGAGCUCUGAAGACUCACCAACUUUGUUUUGGAAAAUAUGGCUGGUUUUCAUUAAAAAUUGUUUUUUCUAUUAAUAA